UAGGGAAUCUUCCGCAAUGGACGCAAGUCUGACGGAGCAACGCCGCGUGAGUGAAGAAGGAUUUCGGUUCGUAAAACUCUGUUGUUAGAGAAGAACAACGCAUAGAGUAACUGUUAUGCGUGUGACGGUAUCUAACCAGAAAGCCACGGCUAACUACGUGCCAGCAGCCGCGGUAAUACGUAGGUGGCAAGCGUUGUCCGGAUUUAUUGGGCGUAAAGCGAGCGCAGGCGGUCAAUUAAGUCUGAUGUGAAAGCCCCCGGCUCAACCGGGGAGGGUCAUUGGAAACUGGUUGACUUGAGUGCAGAAGAGGAGAGUGGAAUUCCAUGUGUAGCGGUGAAAUGCGUAGAUAUAUGGAGGAACACCAGUGGCGAAGGCGACUCUCUGGUCUGUAACUGACGCUGAGGUUCGAAAGCGUGGGUAGCAAACAGG
Molecule: ribosomal RNA, 429 nt
Filed under: Bacteroidota bacterium
Lineage: Bacteria; Pseudomonadati; Bacteroidota
Description: Bacteroidetes bacterium partial 16S ribosomal RNA
Rfam family: Bacterial small subunit ribosomal RNA
Source: RNAcentral